Molecule: ribosomal RNA, 1707 nt
Filed under: Salmonella enterica subsp. enterica serovar Anatum
Lineage: Bacteria; Pseudomonadati; Pseudomonadota; Gammaproteobacteria; Enterobacterales; Enterobacteriaceae
Description: partial 23S ribosomal RNA
Rfam family: Bacterial large subunit ribosomal RNA
Source: RNAcentral
GAAGGUGGCCUGUGAGGGUUGCUGGAGGUAUCAGAAGUGCGAAUGCUGACAUAAGUAACGAUAAAGCGGGUGAAAAGCCCGCUCGCCGGAAGACCAAGGGUUCCUGUCCAACGUUAAUCGGGGCAGGGUGAGUCGACCCCUAAGGCGAGGCCGAAAGGCGUAGUCGAUGGGAAACGGGUUAAUAUUCCUGUACUUGGUGUUACUGCGAAGGGGGGACGGAGAAGGCUAUGUUGGCCGGGCGACGGUUGUCCCGGUUUAAGCGUGUAGGCUGGUUUUCCAGGCAAAUCCGGUUCACUUUAAAACUGAGGCGUGAUGACGAGGCACUACGGUGCUGAAGCAACAAAUGCCCUGCUUCCAGGAAAAGCCUCUAAGCAUCAGGUAACAUCAAAUCGUACCCCAAACCGACACAGGUGGUCAGGUAGAGAAUACCAAGGCGCUUGAGAGAACUCGGGUGAAGGAACUAGGCAAAAUGGUGCCGUAACUUCGGGAGAAGGCACGCUGACACGUAGGUGAAGUGAUUUACUCAUGGAGCUGAAGUCAGUCGAAGAUACCAGCUGGCUGCAACUGUUUAUUAAAAACACAGCACUGUGCAAACACGAAAGUGGACGUAUACGGUGUGACGCCUGCCCGGUGCCGGAAGGUUAAUUGAUGGGGUCAGCGCAAGCGAAGCUCCUGAUCGAAGCCCCGGUAAACGGCGGCCGUAACUAUAACGGUCCUAAGGUAGCGAAAUUCCUUGUCGGGUAAGUUCCGACCUGCACGAAUGGCGUAAUGAUGGCCAGGCUGUCUCCACCCGAGACUCAGUGAAAUUGAACUCGCUGUGAAGAUGCAGUGUACCCGCGGCAAGACGGAAAGACCCCGUGAACCUUUACUAUAGCUUGACACUGAACAUUGAGCCUUGAUGUGUAGGAUAGGUGGGAGGCUUUGAAGUGUGGACGCCAGUCUGCAUGGAGCCGACCUUGAAAUACCACCCUUUAAUGUUUGAUGUUCUAACGUGGACCCGUGAUCCGGGUUGCGGACAGUGUCUGGUGGGUAGUUUGACUGGGGCGGUCUCCUCCUAAAGAGUAACGGAGGAGCACGAAGGUUGGCUAAUCCUGGUCGGACAUCAGGAGGUUAGUGCAAUGGCAUAAGCCAGCUUGACUGCGAGCGUGACGGCGCGAGCAGGUGCGAAAGCAGGUCAUAGUGAUCCGGUGGUUCUGAAUGGAAGGGCCAUCGCUCAACGGAUAAAAGGUACUCCGGGGAUAACAGGCUGAUACCGCCCAAGAGUUCAUAUCGACGGCGGUGUUUGGCACCUCGAUGUCGGCUCAUCACAUCCUGGGGCUGAAGUAGGUCCCAAGGGUAUGGCUGUUCGCCAUUUAAAGUGGUACGCGAGCUGGGUUUAGAACGUCGUGAGACAGUUCGGUCCCUAUCUGCCGUGGGCGCUGGAGAACUGAGGGGGGCUGCUCCUAGUACGAGAGGACCGGAGUGGACGCAUCACUGGUGUUCGGGUUGUCAUGCCAAUGGCACUGCCCGGUAGCUAAAUGCGGAAGAGAUAAGUGCUGAAAGCAUCUAAGCACGAAACUUGCCCCGAGAUGAGUUCUCCCUGAGACUUAGAGUCUCCUGAAGGAACGUUGAAGACGACGACGUUGAUAGGCCGGGUGUGUAAGCGCAGCGAUGCGUUGAGCUAACCGGUACUAAUGAACCGUGAGGCUUAACCUUACAACGCCGAAG